Molecule: long non-coding RNA, 348 nt
Filed under: Brassica napus (rape)
Lineage: Eukaryota; Viridiplantae; Streptophyta; Magnoliopsida; Brassicales; Brassicaceae
Description: long non-coding RNA (BNAP_LNC006965)
Source: RNAcentral
UUUUAAGAGAAAAAGACUAGGAUAGCACCAAACCAAGUUUUUGUUCCCAAAGUAGCACUCAAGGCUCAAAGUCACAAAAAUAGGUUUCAUUAAAGAGGUAAAUAUACACUUAUACCCCUUGGGUUAAUUAAUCCAAACCUUAGGGUUUAGAGUUAAGGGGGUGGAAUUUAUUUUUUUAUUUUUUUUUUAUUUAUUUUUAUUUAUUUUUGUUUAUUUAUUUAAUUUUAAACCAAGGGUAUUAGGGAUAUUUUACCCUUUAAUGAAUGUCAUUUUUGUGACUUUCUCCUUCUAGUGCUAUUUUUGAGACAUAAACUUCAAAAGGUGCUAUUAUUGACAAUUGCCCUUUUU